Molecule: non-coding RNA, 83 nt
Organism: Xylariomycetidae sp. FL0641
Lineage: Eukaryota; Fungi; Ascomycota; Sordariomycetes
Source: the annotation of a GenBank genome assembly
GCACAAGUGGUGUAGCGGUAACAUUCAAGCCUUCCACUGUUACGCGGUAGCUUGAGCUUCGGGUUCGACUCCCGGCUUGUGCA